GAGGAUUUGGGGGAGAGGGCGGUUAAAAAUUUUGUUUUUAACUUAUCUUUAUUGUUGAUUCAAGGAUUGCCCUUGAAUUUUUUCUGCAGAGGAUUUGUUAUUUUGCGGAAGGGUAGAUUGUGCUUCUGAAGGAAUUCUUGAACGCUUGUUGUGUUAAUUAGGGUUUCCUACCCUUUCCUUUAAGUUUGGACCGAACCUGGUCAGAAUUGACCCGACCCAUG
This 221-nucleotide long non-coding RNA is filed under the name Lathyrus oleraceus (garden pea). Its description in RNAcentral is "Pisum sativum (pea) long non-coding RNA (PSAT_LNC005259)". Lineage: Eukaryota; Viridiplantae; Streptophyta; Magnoliopsida; Fabales; Fabaceae. The record is from RNAcentral.